This 71-nucleotide transfer RNA is filed under the name Camelus bactrianus (Bactrian camel). It matches the Rfam family "tRNA". Rfam says of the family: Transfer RNA (tRNA) molecules are approximately 80 nucleotides in length. Their secondary structure includes four short double-helical elements and three loops (D, anti-codon, and T loops). Lineage: Eukaryota; Metazoa; Chordata; Mammalia; Artiodactyla; Camelidae. The record is from Rfam by way of RNAcentral. RNAcentral also lists the same sequence under 2 other names.
GGGGCUAUAGCGCAGUGGUACAGCGCAUGCUUAGCAUGCAAGAGGCCAAGGUUCGAUCCCCAGUACCUCCA